GUGGGUAUAGCUCAGUGGUAGAGCACGUGCUUAGCAUGCAUGCACCAGGUCCUGGGUUCAAUCCCCGGUACCUCCA
Molecule: transfer RNA, 76 nt
Organism: Camelus ferus (Wild Bactrian camel)
Lineage: Eukaryota; Metazoa; Chordata; Mammalia; Artiodactyla; Camelidae
Rfam family: tRNA
About the family: Transfer RNA (tRNA) molecules are approximately 80 nucleotides in length.
Source: Rfam